Molecule: ribosomal RNA, 253 nt
Filed under: uncultured bacterium
Lineage: Bacteria
Description: partial 16S ribosomal RNA
Rfam family: Bacterial small subunit ribosomal RNA
Source: RNAcentral
UACGGGGGGGGCAAGCGUUGUUCGGAAUUACUGGGCGUAAAGGGCUCGUAGGUGGCCAACUAAGUCAGACGUGAAAUCCCUCGGCUUAACCGGGGAACUGCGUCUGAUACUGGAUGGCUUGAGUUCGGGAGAGGGAUGCGGAAUUCCAGGUGUAGCGGUGAAAUGCGUAGAUAUCUGGAGGAACACCUGCGGUGUAGACGGCUUACUGGACCAUAACUGACGCUGAGGCACGAAAGCGUGGGUAGCAAACAGG